Molecule: long non-coding RNA, 1081 nt
Organism: Lepisosteus oculatus (spotted gar)
Lineage: Eukaryota; Metazoa; Chordata; Actinopteri; Semionotiformes; Lepisosteidae
Source: RefSeq, a predicted model, not a curated record
UUUGUCUUAGCUUCUGCAGUUCAGUGAAGGGGUGGGAGUGGUAAUAUUGGCUGGGGUGGAGUUUUGGAGUCUUGAAGAGGAGUUCACCUGUUCUGUCCUUCCUGACAAUCAAACUGCUGAUUUGAUCAGCAGGAGAGGAAGAGGAACUAGAGCGACUCUGCAAAUUAUAACCCCUGAGGAAUGGACUGGUCUAAAAUGAUGGCUCACCUACAUGUGCAAGUAUAGCCUGGUGACAUGGUGGCUCCUGACUACAUGUGGUCUGGUGAGUGUCAACUCCCAGUCUACACUAUAGCUUCUUUCAGAUGCUGGCUGUCUGCUUUUAAAGUGUGCUGCAUGUCAGACUUGGUCAUCUCAAAAACAGUUUAGCUAAGGCUCAAACUCUGGCCUCUUGAGAAAAAUCACUGGAUAAAAUUACUUCCACACUUAUUAAACAGCUGGAGGGCCCAAAUGGCCUCUUGUUUAGUGUUUUGUUCUUAGGAUGGGUAUUUAUGUAGCCUGUCCUUCCCUUAAAGUUAAAGGGGAAAAUUAGGGACAUUACCCAUAUAAAUAGCCUCUCUCUCUGUGUUAUUGAUGUAGUUGUUGCUGAGUCAUUAAGGAGAUGACUAGGGUCUCCCCAUACAGGAUCAGGUCCUGUUGACAAUGGUAGCACCUGCCUUGCCUGUUCCAGGCUCUUGAAACAAGAUACUGUGGCAUUUUGAAGCCAAUACCUUGGCUUCUCUCAAUAAGUAACCGAGAUCCUUAGAUCAAUAAGUAACUAACUACCAAACAGGCUAGAGGGCCAAAAUGGCCUCCUGUUGUCUGUAACUGCUCUCUCCUUGCUCUCUCAGGCGGAGAGUGACAUUGAUUUUUAUGACUGGUCUUCCUCAAGAGCUCUGCUGAAGAGGGCAAUACAGGCAAGCGUUCAGCCCCAGUGUGAUUAUCAAAGAUUCACAACAUGAAUAGUCUACCCUCAGUAACUCGUGCACACUCCUUAAAAGCCCAGGGGGUGGAAAGCACUAAGCCUUUGGCUGUUAAAAGUCAAGAGUUGGCACAAAUACAUUUAACAACAUAUUUAGCAUUAGGCCUGCACAGUGCAGUUUUA